This 490-nucleotide ribosomal RNA is filed under the name uncultured bacterium. Its description in RNAcentral is "partial 16S ribosomal RNA". It matches the Rfam family "Bacterial small subunit ribosomal RNA", at positions 29 to 505 of the family's 1533-position model. The record is from RNAcentral.
AGUGAACGCUGGCGGUAGGCCUAACACAUGCAAGUCGAACGGCAGCACAGUAAGAGCUUGCUCUUACGGGUGGCGAGUGGCGGACGGGUGAGGAAUACAUCGGAAUCUACUUUUUCGUGGGGGAUAACGUAGGGAAACUUACGCUAAUACCGCAUACGACCUACGGGUGAAAGCAGGGGAUCUUCGGACCUUGCGCGAUUGAAUGAGCCGAUGUCGGAUUAGCUAGUUGGCGGGGUAAAGGCCCACCAAGGCGACGAUCCGUAGCUGGUCUGAGAGGAUGAGCAGCCACACUGGAACUGAGACACGGUCCAGACUCCUACGGGAGGCAGCAGUGGUGAAGAGUGGACAAGGGGCGCAAGCCUGAUCCAGCCAUACCGCGUGGGUGAAGAAGGCCUUCGGGUUGUAAAGCCCUUUUGUUGGGAAAGAAAAGCAGCAGGUUAAUACCCCGCUGUUCUGACGGUACCCAAAGAAUAAGCACCGGCUAACUUCG